GUAGCACAAAGUAUUUACUAAAAGGGUUUACUAAAAAUAGUUGUGGCGCACCUAUUUUUAACAAAGAUAUUUUUUAAUAAGCCUGUGUUUUGUUUGCAAUUGUUUUAUAUCCAUGAGAGCAGAGUAUUUUUGUGAUUUUUUUUUAAACAAAAGAUCAAAAGGUUAAACAAUAAAGACAAUUUUUCACAGGCCUUCAUUGCUCAUAUUUACCAGGGGUGCCAAUAUUAGUGGAGGGCAGUAUAAUUACUUUGUGUAGUAUUUAAUCCAGCUGUGAGGUAUUUAAUCAGGCUGUAUAUGUUUUAAUCAUGUUAUGUAGUAUUUAAUUAGGCAGUGUAGUACUUUAUAAGGUUGUAUGGUAUCAUGGUGUGUAGUGCUUUAUAAGGUUGUGUGAUAUUUAAUCAGGCUGUGUAGUAGUUAAUUAAGUUGUAUAUUAUGUGUAGUAUUUACUCAGGCUAUGUAGCAUUUAAUUAGGUUGUGUAGUAUCUAAUAAGGCUGUGUAGCAUUUAGUAAUGUUGCAGAGUAUCAUGUUUUGUAGUAUUUAUCAGACUGCAUAGUAUUUAAUAAAGUUCUAUAGUAUAAUGUUGUUUAGUAUUUAAUCAUGCUGUGUAUUAUUUAAAUCUUGCUGCAUAUUUAAUGAUGUUGUGUAGUAUUUAAUAAAGUUUUUAUAGUAUGGUGUGGAGUAUUUAAUCAGGCUGUGUGGUAUUUAAAGUUGCACAGUUUCAUAUUGUGUAGUAUUUAAUCAGGUUGUGUAGUAUUUAAUAAAGUUGUAUAGUAUAUUGUGUAAUAUUUAAUCAUGAGGUGUAGUAUUUAAUCAGGCUGUGUAGUAUUUAAUAAAUUGCACAGUGUUGUGUAGUAUUUAAUCAUGAGGUGUAGUAUUUAAUCAGGCUGUGUAGUAUUUAAUAAAGUUGUACAGUGUUGUGUAGUAUUUAAUCAUGAGAUGUAGUAUUUGAUCAGGCUGCGUAGUAUUUAAUAAGUUGCACAGUGUUGUGUAGUAUUUAAUCAUUAGAUGUAGUAUUUGAUCAGGCUGCGUAGUAUUUAAUAAGUUGCACAGUGUUGUGUAGUAUUUAAUCAUUAGGUGUAGUAUUUAAUCAGG
Molecule: long non-coding RNA, 1093 nt
Organism: Ictalurus punctatus (channel catfish)
Lineage: Eukaryota; Metazoa; Chordata; Actinopteri; Siluriformes; Ictaluridae
Source: Ensembl